AUACCUGCGCAAGGUGUUUUCUCGCUUUCAUUAAUUAUACGUAUAUAUAAGGGUCAUUGGGUUUUAAACCCCGUUACAUUUUGCACUUUCCCCCGGAGAUGCUUAAUAAUGAUAAUGACACCGUAUAAUAGGAAUACACACAAACACAAAACAAAAACUAAAAACAGACAAACAGCAAACCAAUACAGUGACGUCCCCCAGUUUACAUCAAGCAGUACAGACACUGUGGACGACCCUGUUUUCCAGGGUCCCAGAGGUAGUAAGUACACAGGGUCUGUGUACGGGAAGGUAAAGUCAUUAUGCACAAUUACUGGAGAGGUACACGCAUUUUGCAAGAAUCGCUCAGCAGUGCUAAGAAGUGGAUGUCAAGCCAAGGGCACCCGUCAGUGCUUGCAGCAUUAACUGAUCUAAUGUCACCUUCUCCGGAUGGAAGGUCUCAGGCGCCGAGUCGGAUUUGCUCACAGUGAGUGUAAAACGCAGUUACCCCCUCGUCCAAUUCAGUCAGACCUGCCAUCUAAACCAACACUGCACGGAUCAGCUUCUAUGUUCUUUUAUAGGAGGGAAACAACAUGCUUCGCAGGUUAUAAAGUAUCUGUUUUAGAGAUUGUGGUGAAUUGUCACAAACACUGCGAACUGUAAGCCAAGAUGUAGAAACUGAAAAACACUCUCCAGGUCAGCUAGUCUGGAGUUAAAUUUCCCUUAAAAGAUAUCGACGAAGCACAAUCUUUUAAGUAAGUCCGCAUGUGAUAUUAGUGAUGUCUAUGUAUC
Non-coding RNA from Pelobates cultripes (western spadefoot toad), 768 nucleotides. Lineage: Eukaryota; Metazoa; Chordata; Amphibia; Anura; Pelobatidae. The record is from the annotation of a GenBank genome assembly.